This 446-nucleotide ribosomal RNA is filed under the name uncultured bacterium. RNAcentral's name for it is "partial 16S ribosomal RNA". It matches the Rfam family "Bacterial small subunit ribosomal RNA", at positions 338 to 795 of the family's 1533-position model. The record is from RNAcentral.
CCUACGGGAGGCAGCAGUCGAGAAUCAUUCACAAUGGGGGAAACCCUGAUGGUGCGACGCCGCGUGGGGGAAUGAAGGUCUUCGGAUUGUAAACCCCUGUCAUGUGGGAGCAAAUUAAAAAGAUCGUACCACAAGAGGAAGAGACGGCUAACUCUGUGCCAGCAGCCGCGGUAAUACAGAGGUCUCAAGCGUUGUUCGGAAUCACUGGGCGUAACGCGUGCGUAGGCUGUUUCGUAAGUCGUGUGUGAAAGGCGCGGGCUCAACCCGCGGACGGCACAUGAUACUGCGAGACUAGAGUAAUGGAGGGGGAACCGGAAUUCUCGGUGUAGCAGUGAAAUGCGUAGAUAUCGAGAGGAACACUCGUGGCGAAGGCGGGUUCCUGGACAUUAACUGACGCUGAGGCACGAAGGCCAGGGGAGCGAAAGGGAUUAGAUACCCGGGUAGUC